CGCUGCAAGAUAUUAAUUUAAAAAUUCGACAUUGACUAUGAAACGCAUGUAUUGUAUGGCGAAGAAACGUUGUGAUAUAUUCAAGAUCAGUAUGAGAAAAAAUCAAAGGCGAGUUAAUAUCAUGAAUAAUUUCUUUUACAGUUGUUUCUUUACAGGGCUUGUUUAGCAAAUUUUUGCGUCCUUAAUAUAAAUAUUUUUGUGCAGGGAUAAAAUAUGGACAUAUUUUAAUAUUUGUUGAUUUACAACUAUUAGGUAUUGAGUGGAUGUUGGUUAAAAGUUUCCAGGGAACUGAGGGAAUGAGAUGUUAAUGUAUUUGCCGAAGAUGCGAGGAAAGCUUCCAAAAUUUACGGAGUAAUAAAUUCUGGGAAAUGCAGACCAAAAUAAUCGAUGCAAAAUAUCAGUUGGUAUACCAAACAAACAAUGGAUGCAACACAUGGAAACAUUGAAGGGAACAUUAUUGUGG
Molecule: non-coding RNA, 463 nt
Organism: Paramuricea clavata
Lineage: Eukaryota; Metazoa; Cnidaria; Anthozoa; Malacalcyonacea; Plexauridae
Source: the annotation of a GenBank genome assembly